Molecule: ribosomal RNA, 301 nt
Filed under: uncultured bacterium
Lineage: Bacteria
Description: partial 16S ribosomal RNA
Rfam family: Bacterial small subunit ribosomal RNA
Source: RNAcentral
CAGUAGCCGCGGUAAUACGUAGGUGGCAAGCGUUGUCCGGAUUUACUGGGCGUAAAGGGCGCGUAGGCGGACUGAUAAGUCAGGGGUGAAAUCCCAAGGCUCAACCUUGGAACUGCCUUUGAUACUGUUUGUCUUGAGUUCGAGAGAGGUAAGUGGAACUGCGAGUGUAGAGGUGAAAUUCGUAGAUAUUCACAAGAACACCGGUGGCGAAGGCGGCUCACUGGUCCGGAACUGACGCUGAGGCACGACAGCGUGGGGAGCAAACAGGAUUAGAUACCCCUGUAGUCCCUGUCUCUUAUAC